GGAUUGCGCUGCGGAUGGUAACCCUAAUGCAUUGCUUAGCCCGUGAUGUAACCCAGGGCUCUGCCCCAGCAGCCGCCUCCCUCGUCCCCGUAACCUCUCUCUGCUCUGACCUAGAACAGAUCUGGCUCACCUCUCAUCCCCACCCUAACCUCCACGGUCCUUCCUCUGCCGGUCGCCAUGGCGUCUCGCUGCCAGGCCGGUGCUUCCUUCCCGCCUCGGGGAGCCUCGAGAGCUGCCCCGUCUCUUCUCCAGGCGCACCUUCCUGGCCGUGCACGCACGCUUCCAUUGAAUUAACCAUGUCGCUCGCCGGUCGACCGGCCAAGAGAUUUACCUGGUAGCUCGCUCUCGUCUCCAUGUGGCCGGCAAGCGCUCACGGCGGUCCCUCUCGUCGUCGGUCGAGGGUGCCUUUGGUCGACGACCAGAAGUGCAUGGCUGCCAUGGUUUUUGUCAUCCAGCACCGUCUAGGUCCUUGAAUUUACAUAGGAUUCCAUAGCUAUGCAGAUUGACACACCCGUCCAUCCAUCCAUGAUGCUCUGCACAACAAGUUAACUAAUUGUAUACCCAUCCAGCGGUAAUUUCUCUUCUAAUUAAUCAGAUCAGACGCAACCCUUUUUCCCUCUUAACCAGUCCUUCAUUCUUUUUCACCAUCCUCUCUUUGUAAUUUACGGUUGAUAUAUGUUGGGAUCCUUGUCCACGGAUGAUUUACUUUGUUAAUUUAUAAAGUAGGUUUUAUAUAUAUCCUUGUAUAGAAGAAGAAUCGUUUGUUGGAACUAGAUCGAAAAUAUGUAUAGUGUUUAGUUUUGAUUUUCUCUUUUGAAAAAAUGUAGACCAAGUUUAUCAGUGUAUCAUUCGUACAUACUACCUAGUAUAAGGGUUAGCUAUGAUUUUCUCCUUUUGAUUUUUUUUGUAGAUAGAGAUACUACUUAUAAUAAGUACUAUGCAUAAGGUUUAACUUUGAAUUAGAUUUACGGAUUUAUCAUUCCUAAGUACUACGAAUACAUAUUAGCUUUGAUUUUCUGCUUUUGAAAAGAAAGUUUUAGAUCAAAAUUUAUUGUUUAUCAUUCAUAAGUACUUUUGAUAUUUCUCUUUGAAAAAGGAUGUAUAUCGAUGUUUACCCUUAUCAUCCAUAAGUUAGUUAAAGCUUUUGCUGUAAUUCUUAAUAGUUCCAACCUCAAGUUUUCAUUCAUUUGUGAGUUCACAACCUUUGUGGCUCCUUUGAUUCACAGGAUUAACAUGUUGUGUCAUGUACUCAUAUUCUUUAACUGAAAGAGUUCACCCAAUAAUAUUGCCUCGACCGUCAUGCGCCCCUUUGUUAUUACUCUCUCCGUCCGGAAAUACUCGUCGAAGAAAUUGAUGUAUCUAGACGUAUUUUAGUUCUAGAUACAUUCAUUUUUAUCAACUUCUUUGACAAGUAUUUCCGGACGGAGGGAGUACUUUGACAAUGUGCGCACACUUCCGUUGAAAUACAACCAUAUCGGGUGCUGGUGGGUGAGGUGUUUACUUACCUUAUCGAAAAUUGUCCAAUGUAUGUCUGGAUCGAUGCUUAAGUUUUUCUUUCCUAACUUGCUAUAGUUAGUUGGUGAUCCAAAGUAUCGUUGUUCUUGAUUUUGCAUCGUUUCCAAGGUGUUAUGUUUGCUCUAAUUUCUUAUGCUGCUGCAUGUCUCGCCCUUAUUCUUUUUCCGUAAUCAUAUUGUGUUUACCACUAAUCAAUAUAUCAAUAUAUUGAUACAAGUCUUUGACUUUUCUUUACCGUCCGUUCACCACUUAGCCCUGGUAAAGGCCCUCUCUCCUGGUACAUCUAACGUAUCAGUGGCAACCGCAGUAAAAAAUAGAUAAACUAAUGCUAUUGACCACAGUGACAUGAGCUUGUCCCCUCUUGUGUCACUUGCAGAUAGGCCCCAUGCAAUGCUCAUCAUCUGAGUGUUGUGAACUUAAUUGGAAGCAGAAUCGAUACAAGUCCGCGUGGAUUGAGCGUGCACUUCCUACUUGGCAUCAGGCUGGCAAUAAUAUAUGCCAUGACCCUGUACUUUAUGUCUUUUGGUUGGCAGGAAUAAAACAAAGGUUUGCCUACACCACUGAUGAAGCCGCCGUCGCCGCUGCGGCUAUCGCAAGAUCAUUUUGGCCGCCGCUACAUCAGGCGGAAGAUACUUUCUGCCGCCGCUGCCUCAAGACUGGGUUGCCAUGUACUCCCUCCGUAAACUAAUAUAAUAAUGUUUAGAUUACAGAGAGAGUAUAUAUCAGAGGAUCAGGAAAUGGGCCGGAGGUAAAAAUUAAACAAGCCCAGCAAGCUGCCCAGUUCUCCCAGCCCGCAGCACAAGCAGAUGCACGCCCGCAUCCCGCAGCCCCGCAUUGCUCCCGUACCCUUUGGUAUCCAUUCCGCACCAAAACCUAGAUGCACGCCGCACCAGCCGCCUCCCGCCGGACGCCGCGCCCUUCCCCAGUAGGCCGUCAACUCUAGCCGCCCUUCCUGCUAGUGGCUGCGCGCCUGCGCCCUGCUGCUUCCACGCCGGCGCCGGCCACGGCGCCCAGUCUUCAGCGGCCAGCGCCCAGCGGCAGCAGCUUCGCCGGCGGCCGGCGGUGUGCAGGCGUGCACCCUGCGCUGGGGUCUGGAGACGUGCAGCAUAGCAAGCUAGCAGCUGGGAGCUGAGCAGCAGCCUGCAACCUUUUUUUUUGGCCGAUUUGUCCAGAGCCUCAAGAGCCUAAGCAUCUCAAUGGCGAACAUACAUCCUGACUUCAAGAAGAAGAUGGCUCGUGCAGUGGGCAUACUCAACUUGGAACUAUCCGACUCUUUUGAAGUUCUGCUCCAAGAUGUGGUCAAGGUGUUGGUGGACAGAACCACUUGUGUUGUGAUGCAAAAAGCAUUCUGCGUCUUGGCCUCCCCACUCCCGGUCGAUUAUAUGGACAAGCCAAUUGCAAGACUCUUCCCCAAUCCUGAUGAUUAUUUUGCCUCGAUCGGGCUUGAUUCAACGAUUGGUUUACCAUUCAGCAUCCCCACCUCUAUGUCUUCUUUGAAUGAUGAUGUUCCAUACAAUAUACAUGCUUGGUACCACCGGUUGGCUGGCCAUUUAGUGCUCCUUGCGUCCUUACCAACAGAUGGCGUUGAGAAUGCUUCAAGAGCCGGAAAAUUCAAAAACCAUGUCUUCAAGGAGCUGUGUGAUCUGGCUAUUGAGAGCUCCACAAAUCAUGUUGAUUCAAUAUUCCUCCCUCAUCCGAUUUAUGCAUGGGUGACUCAGGAGAUUGAAGAUCUUAAUGCAAAGAAGGAAGUGGGCAGUGGCACCCAUGAGGAGAAGCGCUUCAUAACCAAUCGCAUCAUAACUCAGAUUAAGCAUCUUCAUGGCCUCUUGACCAACGACAACCUGAAGUAUGGCUGGAAGCUCUUCUGCUGCAAGCAAGUUAUGGCAAAGCCUCUGCCAAGACUCCGGGAACGCAGAACGAAAACCUGCAGGAGGUGUACCGAAUCCUUGCUGACGAGCUUCCGGCAGAUUACAUGAGCCAACCAAUUGCUGACCUUCUCCCUCUUCAGUAUGCCUGCUCGCUAGGCCUCCCGCCGGACAUCGACAAACCGUUUAAAAAAAUGGACAGUGACGUCAACAAGUAUGACCUUGCCAAGGAUGAUGAAAGGGAAUUAUUCGAACUACUGGCAAUAUAUCAUCGAAUAGCGCGUGUGAUCAUUCUGCAUGCUUCUCUUGCCCGCAGCGAGGAAAACACCGAAAUUGCAUCAACUUUAAAGGAGCAUGGUAUCUACCCACUGCUGCAGGAGUGUGCCCUCAUGUAUUCACUUAAGGCUGGCGCGUGCAUGGGAAUCCCUGAACCAAUCGUACGGUGGGUUGAAAAUGAUCUUGAGCAGCUCAACAAAAACCUAUCCAAGAUGGAUGCCAGUGAGCAACUUGAACAACGCCGUGUUAUACAAGACCGUGGAAAGAUAAUCUACAACACAAUUGACUACUUUGAUAGCAGCUUGUGAACCCUUUUGUUCGCUGACAUCUUAUGCAUGCUUCUACAACACAAUUGACUACUUUGAUAGCAGCUUGUGAACCCUUUUUUUCACAGACAUCUUAUGCAUGCUUAUGCUGUGACAAUAUGCAUCUUGGUGGGCUAUUUUGGCAAAACACUCUUGUGGUGGAUAUUCCUAUUUGGUCCUGCUAUCUUCAUCAAACAUAUAGUAUAAAGAAACUGCUUAGAUAUGCAACAAGCUAACAUUCCAUGUUCUCUAUCACCC
Triticum urartu is the source of this 4219-nucleotide non-coding RNA. NCBI's taxonomy places the organism in Eukaryota, Viridiplantae, Streptophyta, Magnoliopsida, Poales, Poaceae. The record is from RefSeq and is a predicted model, not a curated record.